This 473-nucleotide ribosomal RNA is filed under the name uncultured bacterium. RNAcentral's name for it is "bacterial SSU rRNA". It matches the Rfam family "Bacterial small subunit ribosomal RNA", at positions 355 to 825 of the family's 1533-position model. The record is from RNAcentral.
UGGGGAAUAUUGCGCAAUGGGGGAAACCCUGACGCAGCAACGCCGCGUGGGUGAUGAAGGCCUUCGGGUCGUAAAGCCCUGUCAGCAGGGAAGAAACUCCGGGAUUCGAAUAGGGUCUCGGAUUGACGGUACCUGCGGAGGAAGCACCGGCUAACUCCGUGCCAGCAGCCGCGGUAAAACGGAGGGUGCAAGCGUUGUUCGGAAUUACUGGGCGUAAAGGGCUCGUAGGUGGCCAACUAAGUCAGACGUGAAAUCCCUCGGCUUAACCGGGGAACUGCGUCUGAUACUGGAUGGCUUGAGUUUGGGAGAGGGACGCGGAAUUCCAGGUGUAGCGGUGAAAUGCGUAGAUAUCUGGAGGAACACCGGUGGCGAAGGCGGCGUCCUGGACCAAUACUGACACUGAGGAGCGAAAGCCAGGGGAGCAAACGGGAUUAGAUACCCUUGUAGUCCCUGAGCGGGCUGGCAAGGCGCAU